This 468-nucleotide ribosomal RNA is filed under the name uncultured bacterium. RNAcentral's name for it is "partial 16S ribosomal RNA". It matches the Rfam family "Bacterial small subunit ribosomal RNA", at positions 28 to 507 of the family's 1533-position model. The record is from RNAcentral.
GACGAACGCUGGCGGCGUGCUUAACACAUGCAAGUCGAACGGAAAGGCCCUGCUCUUGUGGGGUGCUCGAGUGGCGAACGGGUGAGUAACACGUGAGUAACCUGCCCUUGACUUUGGGAUAACUUCAGGAAACUGGGGCUAAUACCCGAUAGGAGCUCCUGCUGCAUGGUGGGGGUUGGAAAGUUUCGGCGGUUGGGGAUGGACUCGCGGCUUAUCAGCUUGUUGGUGGGGUAGUGGCUUACCAAGGCUUUGACGGGUAGCCGGCCUGAGAGGGUGACCGGCCACAUUGGGACUGAGAUACGGCCCAGACUCCUACGGGAGGCAGCAGUGGGGAAUAUUGCACAAUGGGCGGAAGCCUGAUGCAGCAACGCUGCGUGCGGGAUGACGGCCUUCGGGUUGUAAACCGCUUUCGAAUGUGACGAAGCGUGAGUGACGGUAAUGGGUAAAGAAGCACCGGCUAACUACGUG